Molecule: ribosomal RNA, 368 nt
Filed under: Mochlus hinkeli hinkeli
Lineage: Eukaryota; Metazoa; Chordata; Lepidosauria; Squamata; Scincidae
Description: Lepidothyris hinkeli hinkeli partial 12S ribosomal RNA
Rfam family: Bacterial small subunit ribosomal RNA
Source: RNAcentral
UAAUAUUGGCCGCCAGAGAACUACAAACGAAAAGUUUAAAACUCAAAGGAUUUGGCGGUACCCAACCCCGGCCUAGAGGAGCCUGUCCUAUAAUCGAUACCCCACGUUUUACCUUACCACCCCUUGCAACUCAGCCUACACACCGCCCGUCACCCUCAACCUUAUGAAAGAACACAAGUAGACAAAAAAGUUACCAACUAAUACGUCAGGUCAAGGUGUAGCACAUGGGCUGGAAGAGAUGGGCUACAUUUUCUUAAGCAGAAAAUACCAACAGCACAAUGAAACAAGUGCCAAAAGGCGGAUUUAGCAGUAAGAUUGACAAGAUACACCAUUUUAAACACGCUUUAGGGUGCGCACACACCGCCCGU